GUCGUCAUCGCGGAGCGUCUCACUUUGCCCACGCUCUUUGACGUCAUCGUGGGAGUGUUCCAUCGGAGAAAUGAACGGUCAUCAGCACAAUCCUGUAAGCGUCCAUGUAAGUUAACGUUCAAAUCUUUAAAUAAUGCACUCAGUGUCAUUACUAAACGACAAUAUAGUUAUGAAUUAGCAACCAGUUUAUUGUCGUAAACGUUUUCCGUCUUAAGAGAAUAGUAUCGGUUCUCAGUCUGUACAAAUGUUAAGAUUGCUCUCCAACUCAACCUGCUCUCACCCACUAACGUUAGCUGGCUAGUUGGUAGCAUUAGUCGUUUGCUACCCAGACCGGGCAGGGCGACAACCUGUACCAGCCAUCAUGCAAUCGUGACAAAUGUAUAAGAAUCCUCAUUCUCUAUGGGUACAUCACCUUUAAUGUUUGAUAUUACUGGUGAAUAUAUCAUGAUUCUGAUUCUGAAUUUGUUGACGCUAGCUAGAGAGCUUGCUGAGUAGAACGAGACUUCGAUGAUUACAUUUAACGUUAGCUUGCUACCUAGCUGUCCUCAUUAGCAUACCCUGCUUAGGACCAUAGACUUUGCUUAGGUUUCCUACCCAGCUAGCUAGCUAGCUAGCUUGCUAUCUGACCAAUGUGUAGUGCCCCACCAUAUCUCCCCUCUGUGAUGCUGGAGCUUUUCUCGUUUGACAGCCGGAUGCGAGUGACAUAAUCUUGUAACGUUAUUAUUAACACUGUUUCAUGAGUACACAUAUUAAUAUUGUAAUAUUAACAUCAAAUUGGGAGUUUGCAAUGUGCAGUAACAAUGCCGGCUAAGUUGACGAUUUAGGUUACUGAACAUUGUCGAUGGCCAACUUUUAGAGAUGGUUUUGGGCGUAAACGGCUCAAUCCCAGGCUAUCUUGCGGCCGUCAAGCUAGCUUGCUAGCUGGGUUGUUAGCUACGCGGUCAAUACAUUUAAACAUUAUGGGCAGACCUAGGAAUUUCACUAGAUCAGGGUAUUGAUUUAGCUAACCGUCUUAACGUUUCAUUCUGUCCUUACCUUUACUUCACUAAUGUGUAUGGGCAGCAGAGGCGAGCCACCGACUGGUUUACGGUUACUAAGCUUUAAGGCUAACUUACAUUAGCAAGUAAACAGAUUUGGUCCGUGGUAUCAUGGGUUAUUGUAGUAAUGUUUGAUAUUUUGUAUUAUGCAGCUGGACUGAUACCCCAUGUAUUACAGAAAAAAAUAUGUUGUCAAUGAGAUGUGUACGGUUGUUUUGUUUAAAUUGUAAUCCCGUGUAAAUCUGCUGAAGUUUUUUAACUAACCUUUUAGCCAACGUUACCACCUAGCAGGUUAACUAACUUACUUAACUUUCACAGAUCACGUACUUGCGUACAUGUACAAGUAGCUCACCAACUUUAGUUGGAUGUUAGUAAUGAUGUCAUUAUGGCGUUAUGUUAUGAAGUUAUUAACGAUAGUUAGAUGAUAACACAAGUGUGGUAUUGGUUAGGCUAUUUGUCUGCGACUAGUGCACCCGUUAACGUACUGUUCUAUGGCAACUAUAUGACACUCUCCCAUCUCUCCGGUCCAGCAUGCUAUAUUCAUAAACCUUCCCGGGAAGAGCUGACUGUCGGAAGAAACUACCUUGACACUUUUUAAGGACUAGGGGGGUUCAUGAGCAGGAGAGGUCGUUUUUGGACGUUGAAGCUGACCUCUUCUAUGUAGAAGACAAGAGCCAGCACACUGAUGACCGGGCCAGAAGCUGACCCUGAGCCUUGAGUCAGAAGAGGAGCGGCUGGACUGAUGUUGACAUGCGUCUGGUUGAAUGAAAAGUCACAAAGCUGGCUGUUUCCAUGACUGACCAGAAUAGGAACAUUUCCCUUCUGGGGGCGCCCAGAGACUUUGGCCCGCAAACGACAGUGAAUGUAACCUUUGAUCAUGAGUUUUCACAAGCACAAAAGCCCAUUAGAUGCUUGCCCUCGCCUUUGUUUAGCUUUUUUUGAACCAUCAUUCACAUCCACUGACAUCCACAUCCAUGCUUUUCAAACAAUAGUUUAUUGCACAAAUAAUCUCUGAAAUGUUUAUUUCCAGAUUAGGAUGGCGAUUAUAAUAAUGAAGUUUUGAUCACAACCUUCUGACGGUGGUUUAGAUUGUGCAAUCUUGCAGAGAAGGGCUAAACCACUGCAUAGACACCAGAGCAUUUCAGAGAUUAUUGCAUAUUUGUAUCAUGCUUUAUCAUCCUCACUGGCUGUAGGUAGACUGUUGUAUGUACUUGUGAUAUAGCCUAGUAUGUCAUGAUGGGUUGGCUCCUGUGGACCUGAUGGGUUGGAAAGCAGAUCUUUUGUGUGUGCCAGUAAAAGUCAGGCAAUAUUACUACUCUUGACUGCCAGUUAUAUCACAUACAGAUGAAGUAGAUGUUGUGUUAGUCCCCGUGUGCCAAGAAGCUGCAGAUGAAUACCUCGUGGAUGAAGACAAAAAAAAUCCUGCAAUGCUUUUUUGGACAUUAGACAAAUUGUUCAAAAGGUCCUAAGCAGUUUGCCCUUAAUGUUCUUGUACCCAUGGAUUAAUAAAGGACUUGUAAUCGAUAAGGUUAAAGGCCUGUUCCUUUUAAGUGCCUCUGAAUAACAGGAUCCUUUAUAGUUCCUGUGUCUUUCCUGUUAAAAGCUCAAGUCCAGACGAACCCAGUCCUUCAUGUCUGUCAGCCAACCCCUAAUGCUGCCUUUAAGUGUUCUGUUAACUCAUCCUGCUGCUGCUACUGCUAUUGCUGCUGCUACUGCUAUUGCUGCUGCUACUGCUAUUGCUGCUGCU
Clupea harengus (Atlantic herring) is the source of this 2784-nucleotide long non-coding RNA. The record is from Ensembl. NCBI's taxonomy places the organism in Eukaryota, Metazoa, Chordata, Actinopteri, Clupeiformes, Clupeidae.